GAAACAUAAGAAUCCGUCUCUUAAUUUUCAACUAAAAAAAUUAAGAAACGGUUCUUAAAUAAGAGAUUUAAGAAUCGGUUCUUAGCUUUUUUAAUUAAAAGUUAAGAAACAGAUUUUUAAAUUUC
Molecule: non-coding RNA, 125 nt
Organism: Brassica napus (rape)
Lineage: Eukaryota; Viridiplantae; Streptophyta; Magnoliopsida; Brassicales; Brassicaceae
Source: Rfam